CGAGCACAAAUAAAAUUAAUUUUAUAAGGAUAAUGUAAACACUUGUGACAAUCUAUAAACUGAAAAUUUCGAAGUUUUUUUUAAUAAGAAGAAAAAAAAUAAUGGUUCUGAAUACACUCUCUUGCUAAUGCUUGAGCAACCGGUUUUCUUGGAUUCUACUAAUAGUCUGACAAAGUAGCAUCUCUUUCACAACUUGAAACAAAAGAAAAUAAAAUUUGAAGUUUAUUUAGAAUUAUAGACGUUGAAACAAAUUAUGAGAUUCAAGAAAUCAGACAAUGGUAUACUCAAAUAUCAAAAGAUAUAAAUGAAGAAAGAAAAAGAAAAAUCGAAGAAAAUCACGUAACGCGUCGUAGUGUUAUUUAACUUCGAUUAAACGUGUUCUUUUGCAUCGAACCACCGAGUCGAUUCGCACGAUAUCCAUAGUCAUUUCUUUUCCGGCCAGUCGUGGUAUCAGAACUUUCACGCUCGAAAUGUUGGCCAGCCAUUGCGAAAUCAGAUGAUAUUUACACAACCGUGCCGACUUUUCUCACUCGUUCACUUUAAUAAACGCGGGCUAAUUAUCGUAGAAAUUUUAACUAUUAUAACAAUUCUUGCAGGAAGAAUUGCAGUUGGAUUACAUAUCGGAUGGAUCAUUAGUAUUCCUCAAGGUCGUGAUCGUCGGAAUAUAUACCAUACAUGCUACUUCUGUGUAAGAUAGAUCUCGAAAGAGGGUGUAUUUUGCUGGUAUGCACAUCUUAAUUAAAUACAUUUAUCGUUCAAUGCGUUUCACAAAUAAGAAAUCCGAGUAUGUGAUUUAUUUUUGGAAGAUAAUUUAAUUCGUAUUACAAUGUCGAAUAAAUAAAAAUCUAUUUUACGAAAUAAUUUUGCAAGUGGAAAAAUUUUGAUGAGAAAUAUAAAAAAAAAUUUUUUAAAUAGGUUUAUGGGUUAAGUUAUUGCC
Apis laboriosa (Himalayan honeybee) is the source of this 937-nucleotide long non-coding RNA. RefSeq lists it as uncharacterized. The record is from RefSeq and is a predicted model, not a curated record. Lineage: Eukaryota; Metazoa; Arthropoda; Insecta; Hymenoptera; Apidae. The transcript is spliced from 3 exons.